GAUGAACGCUGGCGGCGUGCCUAAUACAUGCAAGUCGAGCGAACAGAGGAGUAGCUUGCUUCUCUGACGGUAGCGGCGUGCGGGUUAGUAACACGUGUAUAACCUAGCGAUAAGACUGGGAUAGCUUCGUGAGAUCGGAGCUCAUACCGGAUACUAUAUUAAACGGCAUGUCUCAAUAGUGAAAGACGGCGUUGCUGUCACUUACAGAUGGGUCCGCGCGUGAUUAGCUAGUUGGUAAGGUAACGGCUUACCAAGGCAACGAUGCGUAGCCGACCUGAGAGGGUGAUCGGCCACACUGGAACUGAGACACGGUCCAGACUCCUACGGGAGGCAGCAGUGGGGAAUCUUGGGCAAUGGGCGAAAGCCUGAUCGAGCCACGCCGCGUGAGUGAUGAAGGUCUUCGGAUCGUAAAACUCUGUUAUUAGGGACGAACAGCUGUGUACGUAAAUAUGCACGUCUUGACGGUACCUUAACAGAAAGCAACGGCUAACUACGUG
RNAcentral lists this ribosomal RNA (497 nucleotides) under uncultured bacterium. Its description in RNAcentral is "partial 16S ribosomal RNA". It matches the Rfam family "Bacterial small subunit ribosomal RNA", at positions 28 to 507 of the family's 1533-position model. The record is from RNAcentral.